Non-coding RNA from Epinephelus lanceolatus (giant grouper), 3231 nucleotides. Lineage: Eukaryota; Metazoa; Chordata; Actinopteri; Perciformes; Serranidae. The record is from RefSeq and is a predicted model, not a curated record.
GUGAGGUGCAGGACAAAAUGUCGAAAACCUGCCCGGAGCUGCUGAGAGAAGCAGCGAAUUUGAUUGAGGAAGUUCUCAGCAGAACUCCGACGGCUCAGUCACAGCAGAUACCUACCUACCUCCAUCACGUACACCUGUCCAAGCCGAGGUAGCAAGGCUCUUCGUGCCGUAUAACGUUAAUGGUGGAGCCAGAAGGAAUAUGACGAGACGACCAGCACAAGUCCAAGUUAGCCGAAGAAACUACACACGCACUGUCUGUUGUUUGGCUGACCACAAGGCGGAUAAAGUUCCAAGCGUACUGCUUAAAGCGGACCUUCUUACUUGAGGACUUGGAGAGCAAAAAGUAACAUUUUCAGGGAAUGACAACAAUCCCAUGGUUAUAACAAAUAAACUGAUGGAAGUGUUUCCGAAGCUCCAAGAAGGGGGAGGCUUUGAAUUUCUAAAAAUUGUAGGAUCUACCCGCAGUCGAAAUCUUGCAUUGCUUCAGUGUCCCAGCACUGGAUACGCCCUUGCCUAUCUGAAAGAUCCAUCAACGAUGAUUGGAUAGGCUACAAUCUACAUACGUCCACUUCAACAGGAUCUACCCUUAGAUUGUGAGAGCUCAUGUCAUGCCUCUGGUCCAGUCAUCCCCUGCAUUACUUGUCAGAAGGAAGUUCCCUUUUCAGAAAUGAAGCUGCACAGAUUGAGCUGCAAUGGGUAUGUACCUCCUAAAGAAAUGCAAGGGUAGCAUAUUCAUUUUUCUUUGGGAAAAUGUCUCUCUUAGAGUGUUGUGCACACAAAUAAGGGAGUAUGAUCAUAAUUUCAUUUUUGUUAACUUCAAGGACACCCGUGCAGGAAUCAGAGAGAGAACAAGAGGGAUGCCAAAGUGAAGAAAAUGACAGAGAGACAGCCUUAGUCAGUGACAGUGUUCCAGUGAGGCCUGAAACAUCAGCUGAGAGUGUAGUAGUACCAGCAGUGAUUGACAACGAGGAGUUGGAUCACAAAGAAACAGACACUGAUUUGUGUCAUCACAAUAGGGUUGCUAUAAGAUUGUGUAACUUAAACUCAGUCAAUAUCAAAAUAGUCAAAAUAACACCUGUAAGAUAUAAUUAGAUAGAUAAGAUAAUGCAAAUACACACAAUUAAUAACAUGCAGCUGGGUUAUAUAUUCUAACUGUUAAAAUAUUUAGUUUUUGUUCAGAAUGCUGUGUUGUUGAUUUUAUGUCAACUCAGCUGUGUAACAGAUUCUGAAGAUGUUGGGUCUCACAUGUUUGUCAGUGACAUGGACAGAACUUUCCUCCUCUUCUGUAGACUGAGAGGAUAUCUGUAUUUGCAGGUAACAUGCCAACUCACAACAUGUCUCUCUGGAAUAGAUAACUUUGUUGUUGUUGUUGUCUAGAAUGGAAGCUUAUUAAACAACCGGCUCAAGCUGCCAAAGUUUUCAAAGAGAAUCUACUAAGGGAGCAUGCAUCUGGGAAACCACUUAGAAUAAGGAUGGAUGUAAGGGACUCUGAAGAGGACAGGGAACGGGAACUUCUCUCAUUCUAUAAACAGCAGCAAGAAUGGGCAUGUCCACUUCAUUGUACUCUUGUUGGUAAAUAAUAUAAAGUUUGUAGUAUAAAUGUAUCAGUAAAGUUUAUACCACUCAAAUGUCUUAUAUGGAAUUUUAAAUGGGAGAAUGGGAUCCAAAAAAACUGUAUAAUUGAUGACCACUAAUGAAAAUAUGUCGUGUACAAUAUUCUCCUGUUAUCUGGAAUAGUCAAUAUUAAGGAUGCUAUUCUAGAAUUGCAGCCAAUAGAAUAUUGACUAUUUUUUCCUUGCUUGUUAAAUGUUACCUUGUCCAGUUACCUGUAUUAGUCAGCCACUGUUUUCCACUGUGUUAUUAUCAGUAUUUUAUUUCAGGUGAUGUUGCUGUCAGAGAGGGAGUGAUGCGGUACUUUAUGACAACAAUAAUAUCCAAACUCCAGUUUGGAUUCAGUCUUGAUCUUGCAUCAGGCGCUUAUUGAAAGCAACCUCUUCCAGGUUGCAGGAAGGAUGUUGGACAACGCCUUUCUGCAUGACGGCCCCCUUGUCACAGGAUUAAGUCCUGCUGUAAUUCAUGUACUGUUCAAUGGGGACCCUGAAAUGGCAACUGUUGUUACAGAAGACUGUCCUGAUCUGCACAUCAGGAAGAUCAUAAAACUGGUCAUUGGGAGGACCAUGCGUCACAUUAAACAGUUGAGAAAAGGACUGAAAGAUGUGAUGGUAUGGCCCCUGCUGACAUCUAGGCCAGAUGCUGUCCCACUUCUUUUCCCCAAAAUGGCUGAAAUGCAGUUCGCACCCCAGAUGCUCCUCGUAAAAAUCACAUGGCCACGUGAGGACAGUGAUGAUGAAGACUUUGACAUAGAGUCCACAUGCCUCAUCACUAGCUUUCUAAGGAUGUUCAUUGAAACAGCUUCAUCAGGUACACUGGCCCAGCUGCUGACAUUCUGGGUUGGCUGGGAGAUGCUUCCUCCUGAACUGAAGGUGGAGAUUUCUGGGGGGAACCCUUCCUACGUCUUCCACAUGCUUUGAAACACUGACGCUGCCAGCUCAUUUCAAAACCUACAUGGCCUUCGAGAAAGCACUUGUCUCUGCCAUAAAUAGUGCACAGACUGGAUUUGGACUUGUUUAAGUUUUUUUCAGACAGAUGGUAUUGCAUGCACUGUUCAGUAUGUCAGGUCAGUUGACACAAGUUUGGUGUCUUUGAAAACAUUUAAACAUACUGUGUAGUAGUUGACAAUUGUUUUAUUCAAAACAUUGUUUCCAUUUACUGAAACCAAACAGUUCUGCAUCUUCAUCUUUCAGUGUUAACAGAACAGCAUUCAUGUCAUUCAUUCUGUGGCAAAUAAUGAGACAGGAAGUAAAGGAGUGUGUUUAAGUUUAGGAAGUAGUGGAGCUGUACAUAAAGUCAAUUUACGAGAUCAUAACAGUGAUUAUGAGCUUUAAGGUAAAACAGCUUUUUUUUUAAGGAAAGCAAACUUCUUCAGUUUAUGCUUGUUUGCUCUAACAUGCUAAAUAAAAGCAUGGGUUGGACAUCAGUCUGCUAUGAUUCCUAAUAAAAUUUGCACAGUCUCUACAUAUGAUCUAAGUGCAUCAGUUACAGAAACUCCUGGAGCUGGCAAAAUGGCAACCUCUUCAUCAGAGAGCUCACGGGCCAGCUGAACCUCUGGGACUGACAAAGUGCCUCCAUGAAGACUGUGAGGUCCAUUCUAGUCGAUCCCAUAGUCUUCAU